This 240-nucleotide unclassified non-coding RNA is filed under the name soil metagenome. Its description in RNAcentral is "partial contains 5.8S ribosomal RNA, internal transcribed spacer 2, and large subunit ribosomal RNA". The record is from RNAcentral.
AACCUAGCACACCUGCGGUGUGUACCUGCGGAAGGAUCAUUACAUGGCGGAGGAGGUGGGCACCUAGUAACCCUGGGUGUGUUGCCUUCACGCUUUCUACCCUUGUCUAUUUGCACCUUUUGUCGUUCCCUCGGUGGGUCUUGAACCUGCCGACGGCAACUUUCAAAACCUUUUGCAGUAGUAUCUAAUUCUUCUGAUUCAAAUAUCAAAUCGUUACAACUUUCAACAAUGGAUCUCAGA